Molecule: unclassified non-coding RNA, 374 nt
Filed under: soil metagenome
Description: partial contains internal transcribed spacer 2 and large subunit ribosomal RNA
Rfam family: 5.8S ribosomal RNA (bases 1-120)
Source: RNAcentral
GAUGAAGAACGUAGCGAAAUGCGAUAAUUAAUGUGAAUUGCAGAAUUCCGUGAAUCAUCGAGUCUUUGAACGCACAUUGCGCCUCAUGGCAUUCCGUGAGGCAUGCCCAUCUCAGCGUUAGAAAAUAUUCUCAAAUUUUAGUUUUGUGCUAAAAUUUGGAUCAUGUCAAGGAAGCUAUUACUAUUAUUGUGAUCGCUCUUUGGAAAUUGAUAGGUCUUUGAGUUGCUACUCAUAGAACGUGAUGAAUCUUUCUUCGUUCUAUUGUAAUUCACUCUGGUAGUCCUAAAACAUGUAUGCCUGUGGCAUAUCUUGUAAUUUGACCUGAGAUUGGGUAGGGAUACCCGCUGAACUUAAGCAUAUCAAUAAGCGGAGGA